Molecule: ribosomal RNA, 120 nt
Filed under: uncultured bacterium
Lineage: Bacteria
Description: partial 16S ribosomal RNA
Rfam family: Bacterial small subunit ribosomal RNA
Source: RNAcentral
AGUGAACGCUGGCGGCAGGCCUAACACAUGCAAGUCGAACGGCAGCGCGAGAGAGCUUGCUCUCUUGGCGGCGAGUGGCGGACGGGUGAGGAAUGCGUCGGAAUCUGCCUUUUCGUGGGG